GAAACACAAACCUGGAGGAAGUCGUGAUUUCCAGCGGGAAUUUAUCCAAAUGAGCAGGAAAAAUGAGCUCCGACAACAUCCGGGUCCACAGUCGCUCCCUGCUGUUAAUCCGAUGAGACUGCAGUCUCUCUCAGGUGGAGGCGCCGUCCUCUUCUGGCCUGAGGUCGCUGCUAAGAAGCCGAGAGGCGCUGGUUUCUCCUGGUGCUGCUUUCAGGAUGCACAUGAAAUUCAGGACCGAGGUGAUACGCCUGAAAGUUGUCUCUGAGGGGAAAAAAAAAAAAAAAAAGAAAAAAUCUUGAUAAAAAGAAGAUUAUAGUUAGAGCACAGUGCAAUCCGGACAAAAACACUGAUGGUAUCGUAACGUAUUGAUCAGGUCUUGGUUCUUUAGAGGGAAGAAUAUAAACAAUCAUCGUUGUACCUGAAAGUUUCUCCAGAGUAAAAGUUUUUCCACAGUCGAGCUUUGCCGCAUUCCUUCUUUUGAAUAACAUGUAGCAACCUGUUAGUUACUGUUUAAAUCUAGCUAAAGAGCUAUGGACUGAAUUUCUAAAUUUUCCAAAAUAACCUAAUUUAUAUCAGAAACAUUUCUGACACAUAUUCACAGGCAUUCAGACAACAUACUAAUGCUAACAUAAACAAACAUGACAGAGUGCAAAGUUUGCACUGCUUCAGUUUUAGUUUGCACAUUCAUAUAAUAUUACUGUGCUCCAGUUAAAUCAUCCAGUGGUUUACAUGCAUCAUUUCUACCUCACACACACACACACACACACACACACACACACACACACACUCCUCAUUCACACCUGGACUCCUCUCUCCUCAAGAAAGGAGUCCAGGAGCAAAGCAGUUAAAUGUGUGAGAAAAGGUCAGAUUUGGUGUGUCCAUGAACUUUACACCAAAAAAAUAUAGAAGCGAGUGUUUGAAGCGCUGAACCUUGACGGUUUUUUUUUUUUUCCCCACAAAGCUUUCCCUGUUUCUGAUCACCAUCUGUACGCAGCCGCUUUUUCAGGCAUUUGCUCCUCAAACCCGGCAGACCGCUCUGAAAGAGCCCGCUUACAAUAAUUCAGCGCGCUAAUGUCAAGGCUGCAUCGGGGGGCAGGAUAAAGAGUCGCUGUGGCCGCAUGAAUCAUCGGUGACUCGGUUCGGUCCCAUCAGCCGCCGCAAGACUCCCACCGGAACUUUUACCGAAAGACGUCGGAGUCCCGGUGACCGGAGACGGAGCGGCGAGCCGUAAUUCACAGACGGGUUUGGUCUUAUCGUCGCUGCCUCCGAGAACACGAGAAGGGCGUGAGGUCAGAGGUCGGCGCCUUGAUGGCGGCGUUGCAGUUUAUCUCUUAUUAACGAGUCACCCGGGAGGAAGGGCGUCCUGCCUCACCACCGAGGCCCUCGGGUCGCAGCUGUGAGUUGGCCCUCUCUAAUGGAGUCGUCCUACCGGGACCGCCGAUAGCCGGGAGAAGCCGGGUUGAAUUUCUUUCCCUUUCUGAGAGACGAUAAAACACGACCGAGGUGCAGAACAGCAGCCAUUUGCAUUAAUAUUGAGUCUAAGUGUGACUGGUGCAACUCUAUAAAAUGGUUUGUAUCCCGAUUUAUAGAGAUGUAUUUACUUCAUAAUGAUUCAUUACAUACAAACAUGUUUAAGUUAUUUCUGUUUGCUUUGGUAACUGAAAUAAACAAGAUGUUGCUUGUCAGAAAAUUAGAAUUUUAUAUAAGACGAGUGAAAAGAAGCAUUUUUGGCAGUGAUUGUAUUAAUAAAGACAUGAAAGACAAAAUUCAGCUGAAUUAUUUGCAUAUUUUCUCUGAUUUAUGUGUGGAAACUUGAUCCGGUUUGCGCAGAAGGAGAAAUUUAAAGACCCAGAAGAUCCUGCAGCUUAUAAUUCCUUAUAUAAUGUUUGUACUGGUCCAAAAUCUGUUGACCAACUAUUUUUAUUCAUUAUCAGAUGAGCUAAAACUUCCAGCAGCAAAAGGAUGUAAAUAUUCUGCAGAAAAGACCAUGAAAUAAAUAAAAAAAAAAACUCUUUUUUUUUCCCCUCUAUUUUUAUUUCUUUAUGAUUUUGUCGCAUCCGAGUUCAAUCCAGACAGAAAUCUGCCCUGAGCCUGGCUUUGGAAGCAGCCCUCUCCUACCAGUUCACAAACAGCUUAAGGCAUUACGGUUUGCAUUGUUCAUGACAUCUUUGUGAUCUCUUUUAUUAGAACUGAACUCAACUUUAAGCAGGUUUAAGCAGGCGCACACAUCAAAGGCUCAGGGCAUUGAGUAAUCGCAUUCAGCGCCACGCACACGCUGAAUGUGUUUCCUGUUGUUUUUAAAAACACGGUGACGCAAGACGUUCUGUGGCUAUGUACGGGUGUAGAUUAAAGGAAAGCUGCUUUUUUUCCCCCCCUGGAUUUCCUAGCUGACGCAUCUGCAGGUAACUUUUUUUUGUGAAGUCUUUUGAUUUUGGCUUAGACACAGCUCAUCCAAUUCAGGAAAGAGCUCCACCAGGUAUGCUCAGAUCGACAUCACCGCGACGGAGAUGGCCCACAGAGUCGGCGCGCAGCACGCCCUGGGCAGGCAGGAGGGUCUGCACAGCCUGGAGCUGAGGAGGAAGGGAACGCCGCACUGACCCCCCAGCGCUUUGGAUUCGCCGCGUCGGACUGCAUCCGCCGGAGAUGUGAAGAACUUGAUGGGAGCGUUUUUGUUUUCUGUUCUCUUUACAGUUUCUAAGCACAGACCGGGUUCACGCAUGCUGGAAUCCACGAACAUGUCGUGCUCACGUUGUUAGGGCGGCAGGCCUUUGCUUCUGUAAUCAAGGAGCCGCGAUAAACGCGGCUGUGCGGUUUUGCAUGAAGCCAGGCGCGACGUUUCCACCUCGUCCUCUCAGAGAGUCGGUUGCAUCACUAAAUGGCGCUGCGCCAACUAAAAGGAGAAGAGCACUGACCCAGAGAUGAGUCACGGCCCAAAUGCCUCCCCCUCGCUCAGCUGCAUCCCAGCGCCAUCUUGGACCGUCCCACAUUUUUUUUUUUUUUUUAUCAUCAUCGUUUGGGAAAAACAACAGAGAUGAAGCAAGAGGUGAUUAUUCCAUGAGGUAGUUAUUAAUUGCGCUGUGCUAAGCUGCUCGGAUUUGGCCUAAAGCCGUCCAUCCAGUCUUACUCAGAGCGCUGAGCAGGAGAAAGUAAAUGACGAGUUGCGGUGAGGAUCUGUAAUUGUUCCACGUUUCUCCGCUGCGCCUGCUGACCUGCGUUGGCCUGCUGUGACUAACAGAUGCUGUUUAUUGUUUGAACAGAACCCGAGUGCUGCUUUCGUUGUUUCCUCCGUAGGGAUUUACUGUGGGAAACUAUUUAUGACUUCUGCAUAGACGAGAGAAAGCAAUGUUUGGAGAUUUUCUUUAGAGAUGUUUAAAUAACAGCAAUGUUUGUUUUGUGUCCUUUUAAUUUUUCCUCGUUUCUUGUGCGGUACAUCGGUAGACCUCGGCAGAGUGUCGUUUCCGUCUCGUAUUCUGCUGCGUUUCACCCGCGGUUGACUUCAAGAAGACGUUUAUUUAAUUUUAUACACAAGUUAAGAAUGUAUAAUUAGUGCUUUCUAGGUAAAAAUUUUCUUUUUUUAGUAAGUUAUUUAUUACUACAACUUUUGUGUGUUUUUUCAGUGUUUACAGUUGCGGUGAAAAAUUUCCAUGCACCCAUUAGGGGCCUUCAUUCAUGUUUUAUAUUUUUAAUGGUUGAUUUGAUGAUAAUGCACCAGUACCACUAAUGGCACAGCAUGCCUCCGCCCCCACCAUGCUUUAUAGCUGGUGCAGCAUUGUUGGGUGUGAAAAUCUCACCCCGACUCAUCCAAGCUCACCUGUUAACACCGAGACCAAAUCCUUUGAGUGUCGCAUUUCUCUCCAGAAGUAACUGAUCUCGUUCAUGUAGGCGGCUGCACGUUUUAGUCUUUCCUGAAGGUGUAAAUUUUGGAGCAUCAGCUUCUUUUUCUGGUUGGUACUUUCUGGGCAGAGACACAUUUGAUCCUGUAUUUUCUACUUCUUUGCAGCCUUGUGGCACGUUCCUGAAUUCACUAAUCUCCUUCCAUCCGAGCGUGUUGUUUUUGUCUUCGUCCAAGCUUUCCUGGAAGUCAGUAAAAUAAUCUUUAACUGGAUAAAAAAUAAAUAUUUGGUCUGUGCACAAGGUUCAUAAUGUUCAUGCUCUAUACCAGACCAGAACUAUACAGUCAAACUCCAGUCAGAUUCAGUGUCUAUUCUUUGAGAAGACAUUAAUAGAGUAGCUCUAUUGAGAAACCACAAAGCCACAUUAAUAAGUCUACAUACUUUAAAGAGUGCUAAGUACUGAUUUUCCCGGCUGUUUUUCUGGAAAUGCUCCCCCCAAAAAAGCACCAAUCACCGCACAUUGUCAACAUGUAAUAAAAAUAGAUUUACGGUAAUCCUGAACUCUUUCAUCAAAAACACUUCGUAUAAGUCAAAAUGUAAAGAUGAACUCGCAUGUCUGACAGGGACAUUGUAGUUUUCAUUGUAAUUUCUCUGCAGAAAAUGUUUUCAUCUGAAACGUCCGAGUAUGAAACAUGCAAGAUGUGCUGGAAUACGAAAUAUGCUUUUUCAAAAGGACAGACAAAAGCCAGAGUUUCAGAUUUAUUGCUUUCCGACGAUCAAUGUUGUAAGAGGUUAGUGUCUUCUGUCUCUGGUUUUACCUUCCUCGACUAACAUGUAUUUUUAUUGGUGGUUGAUUAUUGCAGUUUGAUAAUCAUGUAAUGCAGUAAGAACGAAAACCGAAUCACACUCAUUUCCAAAAAAAUGUCAAUUGUAAAUAAAAUGGGAUGAAUAGUA
Molecule: long non-coding RNA, 4787 nt
Organism: Poecilia latipinna (sailfin molly)
Lineage: Eukaryota; Metazoa; Chordata; Actinopteri; Cyprinodontiformes; Poeciliidae
Exons: 2
Source: RefSeq, a predicted model, not a curated record